ACGAAGCAGUGAUGUGGAGCGAAACUCAAAAAAAUAAGUCUCAGUUCGGAUUGAAGGCUGAAAUUCGCCUUCAUGAAGCCGGAAUUGCUAGUAAUGGCAGGUCAGCAUACUGCCGUGAAUACGUUCCCGGGCCUUGUACAUACCGCCCGUCACACCAUGAGAGUUGGGAAUACCCGAAGCCUGUGAGCUAACUUUUAGAGGCAGCAGUCGAAGGUAGAAUCAAUGAUUGGGGUGAAGUCGUAACAAGGUAUC
RNAcentral lists this ribosomal RNA (252 nucleotides) under uncultured bacterium. Its description in RNAcentral is "partial 16S ribosomal RNA". It matches the Rfam family "Bacterial small subunit ribosomal RNA", at positions 1249 to 1500 of the family's 1533-position model. The record is from RNAcentral.